This 1006-nucleotide long non-coding RNA is filed under the name Equus caballus (horse). Its description in RNAcentral is "lncRNA (ENSECAG00000054158.1)". Lineage: Eukaryota; Metazoa; Chordata; Mammalia; Perissodactyla; Equidae. The record is from RNAcentral.
GCUUCCGGGCGCCCAGAGGGGGAACUGGGCGGGACCGCAGCGGGGAGGGGUUCUUGUGCUGGUGUCUCCUGGCCCCGAGCGUCUCGAGGCGUCCUCCAUGCCACCUCGCAAUCGUCGCUUGGGUCAUAUUUUAUUGAAAGAGCCUGUGUGGCCGAAAGGGCUUCUCAGAACCGAGCUGACUCAGGCUUCUGGGAGGGAGUUGCCAGAUGGCAUUAUGCUGCUUAAAAGCCACAUGGUGGAAACAGCGCGAACCUCACCGGAUGCCGGCUGCGAGCUGCUCGAGUGUCGUUUCCUGUAGAAGCGCUGUCACCCCCUUCUGUAGACCUGUCUUUCUGCCAUCCUUACCUCGCCCUUUGCUAAACCAGCCCUCUGAGGCCUUCUCUGUGCUUGUCCGACUGUCGCCGGGCCUCCCUUUGCCUCUUCCCUCAGUGCUGUCAUCUACCCCUCUCUGAAGCCAGAGGGACAAAACGCUCCUUAGACAUCUCAGAGGGAUCUCAUUUCCACCGCAUUGCCAUAACGUGAUCAGAGCCGCGUCCGGCCUGCUCUGUGUUCUAGGCUGUCCGUCAAUCAGGAGGCAUUACUUCUCGGAGUCUCAGGGUUCUUCCGUUUCUUCUGGUGACAAGCUAGUUUUGAGCUUCUUUGGUGAAAGUUACCGAAUAAAUGCCAAGUGUGAUUCACCGAAAUCUUAAUACUUAAAAUGAUAGGCAGAAAGGACCAUUUGAAGACAUCACUCCCCGUGGGUGGGAGCUUAGCUUGGAAAGAGUUCUGUUAAUGGAGUUUUGUUUCCUCCUUAGAAUCACAGAUAACACGUCUGGUUGCAAAGCCCAUAAAGGCCUCUGAGAUUUGCUGAGCUCACAGCCUUGAACAUUAUUUGCAGUUGGAUGUGGAGAGAACAUAACUUAUUAACUAUUGGACGUGAGCCACAUCAGUAAAAGCUAUCAUUCAUUAAGUACUUUCAAAACAGCAGGCUUUGUAAAUGCUUAUGAAGAGUUUCAUUUAAUCCUUA